This 592-nucleotide ribosomal RNA is filed under the name uncultured bacterium. RNAcentral describes it as "partial 16S ribosomal RNA". It matches the Rfam family "Bacterial small subunit ribosomal RNA", at positions 355 to 1376 of the family's 1533-position model. The record is from RNAcentral.
UGGGGAAUUUUGGACAAUGGGCGCAAGCCUGAUCCAGCAAUGCCGCGUGCAGGAAGAAGGCCUUCGGGUUGUAAACUGCUUUUGUCAGGGAAGAAAUCCUCUGGGUUAAUACCUCGGGGGGAUGACGGUACCUGAAGAAUAAGCACCGGCUAACUACGUGCCAGCAGCCGCGGUAAUACGUAGGGUGCGAGCGUUAAUCGGAAUUACUGGGCGUAAAGCGUGCGCAGGCGGUUGUGCAAGACAGGUGUGAAAUCCCCCGGGGCUUAAACCUGGGAACUGCACUUGUGACUGCACGGCUAGAGUACGGUAGAGGGGGGAUGGAAUUCCGCGUGUAGCAGUGAAAUGCGUAGAUAUGCGGAGGAACACCGUGGCGAAGGCAAUCCCCUGGACCUGUACUGACGCUCAUGCACGAAAGCGUGGGGGAGCAAAACAGGAUUAGAUACCCUGGUAGUCCACGCCCUAAAACGAUGUCAACUGGUUGUUGGACGGCUUGCUGUUCAGUAACGAAGCUAACGCGUGAAGUUGACCGCCUGGGGNGUACGGCCGCAAGGUUGAAACUCAAAUGAAUUGACGGGGUCAUAGCUGUUUCCUG